AGGACGAACGCUGGCGGCGUGCUUAACACAUGCAAGUCGAGCGGAAAGGCCUUUCGGGGUACUCGAGCGGCGAACGGGUGAGUAACACGUGAGUAAUCUGCCCAUCGCUUCAGGAUAGCCAUCGGAAACGGUGAUUAAUACUGGAUAUGACAUUCCUUCGCAUGUUGGGGUGUGGAAAGUUUUUUUCGGCGGUGGAUGUGCUCGCGGCCUAUCAGCUUGUUGGUGGGGUAAUCGGCCUACCAAGGCUUUGACGGGUAGCCGGCCUGAGAGGGUGACCGGCCACACGUGGGACUGAGACACGGCCCAGACUCCGACGGGAGCAGCAGUGGGGAAUAUGACAAUGGGCGGAAGCCUGAUCCAGGCAACGCCGCGUAGAGGAUGACGGUCCGUUCGGGUUAGUAAACCGUCUUUCGA
RNAcentral lists this ribosomal RNA (414 nucleotides) under uncultured soil bacterium. RNAcentral's name for it is "bacterial SSU rRNA". It matches the Rfam family "Bacterial small subunit ribosomal RNA", at positions 26 to 440 of the family's 1533-position model. The record is from RNAcentral.